UAGCAAAGCCACUGGUCUGUAAAACUCC
Molecule: small RNA, 28 nt
Filed under: Bombyx mori (domestic silkworm)
Lineage: Eukaryota; Metazoa; Arthropoda; Insecta; Lepidoptera; Bombycidae
Description: ovarian small RNA-22203
Source: RNAcentral